RNAcentral lists this long non-coding RNA (508 nucleotides) under Sus scrofa (pig). RNAcentral's name for it is "lncRNA (ENSSSCG00070001409.1)". The record is from RNAcentral. Lineage: Eukaryota; Metazoa; Chordata; Mammalia; Artiodactyla; Suidae.
CUUACUCACCCCCUAACGCCGAGUUCCUUUUCACUGUCUGUGGACAUUAAAAAAGCGAGCGGCGGCGGGCGCCCGGGAGAGCGAGCGGCCGGGCGGCGGGCAGGCGAGCAGCUACCGGGCAGCCGAGCGAGCAAGCAGCACCGGCGCAGCGCGGUGACCCCAGCCCCGGUGGGCGCGGAGCAGAAGCCGGCGCCGAGCCGAUCUCAGCGCCCUCGCAGUUUCUCCCGGCCCGAGCCGGCCCUGCCCGGCAGCGGCGGCGGCGGCAGCGGCGGCAGCGGCGCGUCCUCCAGCGGCGGCAGCGGCGGUCGCAGCUCCCGGACCUGCACCUGCAACAGCUGUGCUCAGCCAAGUCAGACUGCUGGGACCGGCGCCUCCUUCCCACCGCGACCUCCGUUUCCCUGACGUUCUUAGCAGCCUCCAGUCCUGGUGGUCAGCAGAGGCCUUAGCAGGACGAGGAGGAGGAGGCCUGUUGGCACCAGACCAAUGCUGCGAGGUGUGUGAGGAUUAG